AGGAUCAACGCUGGCGGCGUGCCUAAUGCAUGCAAGUCGAACGGUGGGCCUUCGGGUCCGCCGUGGCGAACGGCUGAGGAACACGUGCGUAUCGGCCUUCUCGUGGGGAAUAACGCGUGGAAACACGUGCUAAUACCGCGUACGCUUGCCUUCGGGUAAGGAAAGCCUUCGGGCGCGGGAAGAGGAGCGCGCGGCCCAUCAGGUAGAUGGCGGGGUAACGGCCCACCAUGCCCGUGACGGGUCGCUGGUCUGUGAGGACGGCCAGCCAGACUGGGACUGCGACACGGCCCAGACACCUACGGGUGGCAGCAGCAGGAAUCUUCGGCAAUGGGCGCAAGCCUGACCGAGCAACGCCGCGUGGAGGACGACGGCCUUCGGGUUGUAAACUCCUUUUGUGGGGGACGAAACGGACUGUACCCCGCGAAUAAGCCCCGGCUAACUCUGUGCCAGCAGCCGC
RNAcentral lists this ribosomal RNA (457 nucleotides) under uncultured bacterium. RNAcentral's name for it is "SSU rRNA". It matches the Rfam family "Bacterial small subunit ribosomal RNA", at positions 26 to 518 of the family's 1533-position model. The record is from RNAcentral.